UCUUAAAAAUCUCUUGUUGAGUUACAAUGCAAACGCACGAGUGGAUUCAGUUGUUUCUUAUUGUUCACUGUAUUAAAGUCAGCCCACGGGUUCAUCAGCAAGUUAGAGGCUGUAGAUGUUCGUACAUUCAUUCACACAGUGUGUUUCAGGGAGUGGCUGAAAAAACAGAAUGUGGAACAAGCAGAAUUGGAAGCCAGGGUGGGAAAGGCUGGAUGUUGCAUCUCCGAAAAAAUCAUGGACAUUAAUAGACAAAACAAAAAGGCCACUUAAGUGGUGAGUGUCUAAGUCCAAAACAUUUCCAGUUGUACAGUAUAUUGCAUUUUCAUGUUUUGGAUUUUCCUUGUUUAGGCCCAUAGAUGUAUUGUGUGUUUAUUUGUAAUCUUAGUCAUUCAUCUUAUUAAAUAAUAUUAUGUAAUAUAUUUCCUAAUGUUUGUUACCUUAUUGUUAUUAAACUACAUUGUCAUGAAA
Molecule: long non-coding RNA, 468 nt
Organism: Acanthochromis polyacanthus (spiny chromis)
Lineage: Eukaryota; Metazoa; Chordata; Actinopteri; Pomacentridae
Exons: 2
Source: RefSeq, a predicted model, not a curated record